This 511-nucleotide ribosomal RNA is filed under the name uncultured Limnohabitans sp. Its description in RNAcentral is "bacterial SSU rRNA". It matches the Rfam family "Bacterial small subunit ribosomal RNA", at positions 1 to 541 of the family's 1533-position model. The record is from RNAcentral. Lineage: Bacteria; Pseudomonadati; Pseudomonadota; Betaproteobacteria; Burkholderiales; Comamonadaceae.
GUCAGAGUUUGAUCCUGGCUCAGAACGAACGCUGGCGGCAUGCUUAACACAUGCAAGUCGAACGGUAGAGGGGGCAACCCCUUGAGAGUGGCGAACGGGUGAGUAAUAUAUCGGAACGUGCCCAGUCGUGGGGGAUAACGUAGUGAAAAUUACGCUAAUACCGCAUACGAUCUUUGGAUGAAAGCGGGGAUCGCAAGACCUCGCGCGAUUGGAGCGGCCGAUAUCAGAUUAGGUAGUUGGUGAGGUAAAGGCUCACCAAGCCGACGAUCUGUAGCUGGUCUGAGAGGACGACCAGCCACACUGGAACUGAGACACGGUCCAGACUCCUACGGGAGGCAGCAGUGGGGAAUUUUGGACAAUGGGCGCAAGCCUGAUCCAGCCCAUGCCGCGUGAGUGAAGAAGGUCUUCGGAUUGUAAAGCUCUUUGCCAGGGGACGAUAAUGACGGUACCUGGAGAAUAAGCCCCGGCAAACUUCGUGCCAGCAGCCGCGGUAAUCUGAUGGCGCGAGGGA